GGUCUGAUUUGGGCAAAUUUAUCUUUUUGGCCAUUAUUUUCCCCUAAUGAUUCAAUAUUGUUUCUUUUUCUAUUUAUGUUUUUUUGGCCCUUUUUCCGUUGGGUAGAGUCAUCGCUCAUCUUCCUUAGCAAGCGACUCCAUCCAUAAUCUCUCAUCUUUCUGUGUAUUUGCUUUGUACAAGAAAACUCCCAUUUGUGUGUAGUUCAACCAUUCAUUCGGCCCUGAAAAACAGAGAAAAGACCCACAAAAUAUAUCUCACUUCCUUCCACUUUUUAGGGUUUAUUUUCUCGUUAUGCUUCCGGAAAGAUCCAUUCUUUCUUUGUUAUAACAGGUGAAUUUGUGGCUUUUUAGAUAUAACUAAUUGAGGAAGAGAUGGGUAGAGGUAGGGAUAGGGAUAUUUCAAGGUCUAGGUCGAGGUCGCCAGCAUAUAAGAGGAGAUAUUCACGGUCACCCUCGCCUGUGGUGCGCAGACAUAGCAGAAGAAGCAGGAGAGAUAGAAGCAGAUCCCCUUAUGCUUAUAGCAGGUGAUACCCAUUGGCAUAAAUUGAUUUAUGGAUUUGACAUAUAUGGAUUUUCUCCUUAUGUUAAUGUCUUUGGUUUGUAUGUUUUUUUUUGUAUGUACAAGGAUUUGUUGUUUUAUUAUUCUAAUAAACCUCACAUGUGUUUGCUGAUUCACUUACAGUUUGUUCAGGCAAUGUGUACGUGUUUGAUUCUUGAUAACUGUUGGUUUUUGUCUACCGUUUAUUGGAUGGACUUGCUGCGUUGAUCAAAAGGAUUUUAGGAUUUCGUAAUGACAACAUUGGUCUAAGAUGUGGUGGGAUUGAUGAUUGAUUAUUUUUGCUUGUAUUUUAAAGACUUUAAGAGGAAUUUUUAGUGACUGGUGCAUUUCUGUAGCACUAUGUCACGCCGACUGAUAAAUAAGUUUCAGAACUUUAACCUUUCUUUUAAUAAAAUACCUCAAUUUUCAUUUCAUUUGGUCAAUUUCCAUCACUGGAUAUCUAAAGCUCUGUUUUAAAGCGGGGAGAUUGGGGGUGCAGAUGUGUUUUGUGCUUCUGCUGCUAUAUUGACUUCAUUUUGUUCAGAUUGGUAUUUGCUCAUCAAAAUCCACUAGUCUUUUAUUUUAUGAGUUAGUGGAUAUCUACAAAAUCAAGUUAUGUACUUGUCGAAUUGACUUGUUGCUGCUACUAAGAGUUUUCAAUACCUGUCAUCACCAUAGUUAAAAAAAUUUUGGUUGUCGGUGUAAUAUGCUUUAUUGUAAGCUGAUUCUUGCGCUGUUCAGCUGCAAAUUUUCGUCCUCGGUCGGAUUGCAAUUCCGACGAUAUGCAUGAUCCUAAUGAGUAGAGUAAUAAUAGAAACCUAAAUGUAAUACCCGGUGCAAACCUAUGUUCUUCAGUGAGAAAUUAAAAGAAGUAAUUGCUUCCCUUCAUGGGAAGCAAGCAGGUCAUGGGUGCCGGUGAGUGUCCAUUGGUUGCUCGAUUGUGAUAUUAGCUGUUCCUAUGAUAAAAGACGGAGCUCGAGUUUAUUCUUUGCAAUUCAUGAGGUAACUGUACAUGCUUUAGUAUCUAAUUGAUUUGGAGGACUGGUUAGUAUGUCUGGGGAUGUGUAUGUUGUCUAGUGCCAAUAUAUGUUGUUGCUUAAAUGUUAAUCAUUUUUAUACAGAAAACGAAGUCGUUCAUUGUCCCCUAGGCGCCGCAAAAGUCGUUCUCCAGCCACCAGACGUCAUAAGAGUCGCUCUCCAAGGAACCAUAGGAGACAGAGAAGUAGGAGUACCUCAUUGUCUCCUAUUGGUAAGUCACCUGGUUCAAGUAUUGGAUCGAAGGAGCAAAAGGGUAUCAGUGAAAAAAAUAAACUUGAUGAAGAGGAGAAGAAAAGGUACUGCUGUAUUUGUAAAGCUUCUCAUUUUCUGUAGCUAUUUCUGUCUUGUAUUUUUCCUUUCCAUCUCUUCCUCAUCAUAUCGUAAGCUAUGCUGUUGUUUUGAGUAUGAAUUAGAACUUCUUCUAUACACUCUUUCAACUUUUGAGCAGACAUCUCUAGUUUCUGUACUGUUUUCCUGAAAUGUAUUGUGGAUAAAUGGGAAUUUUGUGUAGAAAUGUUUACACUGAGGCCACGGGAGAGUUUUUUCCUGAUUAGUUAUAAUGGACUGGCCUUUGGAGACUACAGAACAGAAUGUCAGUUCUUUAAUUGAAAGAUUUUUGUGAUGUGCCUGAUGAUGAGGUAGAUGUAGGAUCGGAUGGUGGGAAUUUUGGCGCUUUACUCCAUUGCCUGAAAAUGAGAAGAUUUUUAUUGUUCAUGGAAGCUCAGCUCUAAAAUUAAAAUAAACCUAGUCUGCAAGUGUUGAGUGGCAGAUAGUUGUAGAGUGUGGUAGACUUGAAUUGUUGUUGUGUAAUGUGCAUCUACUGUUUAAUGUAGCAUGAUAUUGUAACACUUGUAUACUUUACAUUUUUAUCUAACCUCCUUAUCCUUCUAAUUCAACAUGAAGGUAGUAAUGUUCCUCUCGGAAUAAAAGAAUUUCAUGGACAAUACCCCCCAAAAAAGAAGAUAUACAAUUAGCGCUGCUUGCCUGAGCUCUCUAGCUAUGCCUAAUGGAUCUGGGUUUUAUUGCACUCUUCUUCUUGCCUUAUUAUUUGUAAUCAUAGAAAGUUACCAGUUUCAAAAAAAAAAUAAAAUUAUUUGUAAUAAUAGGUAAAUGGCUAUAGGGUUGAUGGAGUUGAAUCUGUCUAUGUUGCAAGUGGAUUGCAAGUUUCUAUUGUACAUGUUAUAAGACAGCAUAAUGCAAAGAAUGCAGCUGGAUCACCAAGUAGCAAAACAAACAACAGCCAAAGUGCUGCAUGUAAUUAGUUAUGCCUUUUAAUUGGUUCAGCUUUUGCUAAAUUAUUUAAGGCUGAUAAAGAAAGAGAGGAAGGCACUACACCUUGAUCUUUGUUUGGUUAUUCUGCCAUGCUGCCCAUCAAUGGUCUUAUCUAUCCUUCAUUAGAUCAACAGAUGUGGCAACUGCAAGGACAGAUGUUACAUGUAUUUGCUAAAACAUGUUGUUUUCAUACCCAGCGUCACGAAAAGUUAAUAGGACCGGCAUAAUCAUGAAUGUACUUGUUAAUAAGGAACAUUUGACAAGAUUUAAUUUGGCCAUUAUUUAGUGUAGAUGGAUGAUGUCUAUUUGCUUCAAAUUUGUUGUCAAUUUCUAGUUGGCUUGAACAAGUUUCUUUAGUUCUGUUAUGCUCUAAUCUGAAUCUUGAACAGUUUCUUGUUACUCAAGCAUUGGGCUCAGGCUUCUUUUUGUCACCAUUUCUGACUAUUUUAGCUGACAUGUUGGCAAUUUUGGUCAUCUAUUUAAGAAGUAGAAACUUUUCUGUUUAAAGUUCCUACUUUUGCUGUAAAGUAUCUAGUAUUUUGGUGAUUAGCUUUAAAAAUUGCUACAGGUUAUUUGACAUUCUUCUCCACAGGCUUAUUUGGAGGAAGUUACUGCUAUAUUCCACUAAUUAAUUUUGAUGAUCAAUUGGGUGCUUCGUUUAUCUACUGUUCACCAGUUUUGAUUCUCAUUUGUUUGGACAGAAUUCAGGUAGAGGCGUCAAGAGGAAGCAGAACUGAGAUUAAUAGAA
Solanum pennellii is the source of this 3596-nucleotide RNA transcript. RefSeq lists it as uncharacterized. The transcript has 3 exons. Lineage: Eukaryota; Viridiplantae; Streptophyta; Magnoliopsida; Solanales; Solanaceae. The record is from RefSeq and is a predicted model, not a curated record.